CACGCUAAGUGGCAUACGCCUA
Molecule: non-coding RNA, 22 nt
Filed under: Arabidopsis thaliana (thale cress)
Lineage: Eukaryota; Viridiplantae; Streptophyta; Magnoliopsida; Brassicales; Brassicaceae
Source: RNAcentral